Patella vulgata (common limpet) is the source of this 5385-nucleotide long non-coding RNA. RefSeq lists it as uncharacterized. NCBI's taxonomy places the organism in Eukaryota, Metazoa, Mollusca, Gastropoda, Patellidae. The transcript has 4 exons. The record is from RefSeq and is a predicted model, not a curated record.
UUUGAAAACUAGUUAAUAGGGUCUAAAAGCUUGUUUUGGGUGUGUUUUUUUUAUUAUUGUGUAUGCAAUGUUAAGAAUCAUAAAUGGUCAAUGGAAACACGACAUAGAGCUAAGGGAUUGUUUAGCAACUUAUGUAGCUAGAAGGCUUUGACGACAUGAAAUAAUUGACUUUGUUCAAGAUAAAUUUAGCGAAUACUCCUGGAGUCUGCGAUCUCUAUUUUUGGUAUUAAAUAUACAGACUAUACUAUUGAUAUAGGGAGAUCUCUAAGGACCUGGGCGCCUUUUAGGUUAUAGGGCAAUGCACCAAAAUGUACGAGAGAUCCAUCUCCUAAAUGUCCCCAGAGACCUGAUGUAUGCAGUUAUGCAAGAAUUGGAUGCUAGUGGAUUAGAAGAAAGAGGUGGUGUUGGAAAACCGAAACGUCCAAGGAGGGAAAGGAAUUUUUAUUCAGAAGGGCCAGACUAUACACUGUCAUUAGAUGGCCAUGAUAAAUUAUGCGGCUACCCGAAAUCCACUUUUCCCUUGUGUGUUUAUGGUUGUCAAGACACCUAUAGUGGGAGAAUUCAGUUCCUUAAAGUAUCUACAAGCAACAAUGAUCCAAAGAUAAUAGGAACAUUCUAUCUCGAAUAUUUAUAUGAAACUAGAAGACAGAGGUACAGAAACAGGAGAUAUGACCACAAUGCAUUGUUAUCUAAUUGACAAGUAUCUUGCAGUUGAGGAUGCAACAGAUUUCGUCCUAUAUGGUCCUUCCACUGGGAAUAAAAUUGAACGAUUUACGAGAGACUUACAUUACAGACUGGAGAUUUACUUUAAAAAACAGAUUUCUGGUCUUUUAGAAAAUGGAGAUUAUAAUCCAUCAAAUGAAAAAGAUAGGUAAGAUAAUUACUAUUAUUACUGGAUAAGUUAUACCCAUCAGUGAUAUUUUAUGCUGAUAAACACAAUUCAAGUGGAAAAUGUAAGCUUUGGCCAUACAACAUUGAUUUGUGCUUUUUAUAUGCUCACUUGAAAUGUAUGGUGUAUUAUAUGACAAUAUUCGCUCGUUCACAAUUGAUGGCACAGGGUGCCUUUAAUGGUAUUAUCUGGGGGUCUCUAUCAUUUUUUUGUGUGAAUUUGAAACAAAUUGUUUGAAUAAUACCCCUUUAUUAGACGCAAAUUUACAUUAACUAAAUACAGUGGUUUUAUGGGUAGCCAAGGAGGGUCUCUGUUGUUUUUUACACAAUUCUGAACAACAUGUUCGAAUUUUUCCUAUUACUUGACACAAUUCUUGUGUGAAAGCUGCUGUGUGGGUGUAUUAACACGCUUUGCGUAGCUAUCUGGAUAUAAAUCAUUUCUUUGGCAAUACAGAUGACAAAUUAGGUCUAAAUUAGCAAAGUACUCUUGAUUUCAGUACCAUUAGGAUCACCAAUUAUUGUCAGGAAAAGGUCGGAAAUCCACUACUGACAUAAUAAACCUACAAAUUACUGAUGAAUUCUUUUGGGUUUUUUUUCAUGUAUACAUACCAAUAAUUCAAAAAGAGUUAGAUAUAUUUAGAGAAACUGUGUGGAACAAUCAUCGUUGCAGAAAAAAACAAUAAGAAAGAAUUACCGACAGGAAUACCAGAACAUUUGUAUUCUUAUCCGGAAAAAUAUGGUGGUGUGAAUUGUUCUUUAAAAGUCUCUGAAAACGAUUUAAAUGAGGUUGCUGAUUUGGCCAAUAUUUGUGAAGUAAAUUAUCUUACAGACGACUUCAGAGAUGAUGUAUGCGCCAUGUAGACCCAACUGAAAUUUGUUCUAAUAAUGCUGAUGUAGCCUAUUUAUUUAUUUUGAAGUCUAAUUUCAACCUUGCAGAUGUUGCUUCAAGUUGAAAGUUCAAUCUUUCUGUUUGUGAUAUGUGCAUCUUGAAGUGAUUUUCAUGGUGUUUAGCCAAAGGAACAGUUCAACCAGACAAUACAACCACAUAAACCCCAUACCCUUUCUUAGAGGAGUAAACACACUGAAAGUUAAUAGAUGUGUCAUCCUUGGUGUUUUAUCUAACCACGAUCAAUGUGUUCAGUAUAUCUCAUCAGACCAUUAUGUUAUUGCUUAAAGUUUUAGGUCAACUAAUAUAAGAAUAUGAGACAUAUAUUAUAACUAAAUAUGACACUACCAUUCUUUCCUAAAAUCUGUUAUCUUUAUUGACAAAUUGUUGUACUAAAAUCGCCAUAAAAAGCCAAGAAAUAUUUUUUUGUAAAUAAUCUGACUUGAUUUAUACAACUGUACAUCACUCUAUCAACAUUUGUUGAUAAUUGUCCUGUACAAUUUGAAGGCAAAAUCCUUUAAUUUCCAUGCUGCUUACUCAUACCCAACUAAAUCUUAGUUGAACAGCAUUACUUUUUUAGGUUUUUGUUUUUCGAUUGUUUACAUGUAUAUUGGGUUAUUUUUCUGGGCCUUAAAAAAACUGUAAUGCUGUUUUCCUGCAUUAUGAUUUUAAGGUUUAAAACUACAAGAUCCAGUGCUUGUGCUUUCAAAACAUGUAAAUAAUAUGACAUUCUACUGUAUUGAUAUUUUCGAUAUCGUGCAUAUGCUUUCCUUAUGACUAUUCAGAUUUAUUGUUAUAAUCAUGUUGAUGAGAUCUGUUAUUGUAUCAAAUGUAGCACUCUUUUAGGGUAUAUAUUCCUUUUAAGACAUGGUAAAGUGUAUUUUACAUGUAUGUCAUUAUGCAGAAAAUGUACAAAAGUGGUAUGACCAUGAUAAUUAUUUUGCCAAAUUGUAUUCCAAACACUUCUGAAAUACAUAAAGAUACAUAUUGAAAUUCUCAGGGAAACAUGAUGGGGUAGUCUCCAAACAGUUGAAAUUUGAAUACUAUUUUGGGACCUAUAUUUGAUUUGACUAUGCGAAAUGCAACCUAUUAUUCUAAUUUUAUACUCAUUAGCAGAUUAACGAUUUGGUUCAGCAGCCAUUUGCUGUCACAUCAUAUAUCCUUUAAAGUAGUUGGGUUCUGUAUGCUAACAAAAACUCUAAACUGCAAAUCUUUAUUAUUGCUAAUAAAGCUUUUUAAAACUUUGCUUUACAAUAACAAAUAUAAUAUUUAAUAAAACAAUAAUUAAUUAUUGAAAAACAAAAGCAGAUAUGUUUGAUUAAAGUACCAUUCGCACUAAGUAUCCCUAAAAUGUUGGUUCAUAAUACAUGUAUGAUCACUCUAUGAUUAUUGUCAGAAUAAAUUUUUAAAAAAUUUAAAAACAUCAAUGCACACAAGUGGUUUAUUUAUGUUGUUUUUCCUGAGCACCUGGUAGUUCAAAUGACGCAAUGUGAUGUCAUUCAAAUUAAAAGUACAACUGAGUCUUGAAUAUACCAUACACGAAUUGAUUUCAGGAAUAAAAAAUAUUGUUAUGGCAAAUAUUUAAAAAAUAUUGUCUUUGGAACACUUUUGUGUCAAUACUAAUAUUUAAAUAAAAAGAAGGUUAUUUUGAAAUAAUUUUGAUUUACUUUAUACAAGUCGGAAUGGCCCUUUACGCUCAUUUAAUGUUAUGGAAGUACAGAGAACUUCAGUAGGCACAUUUUCUGUUAAAAUGGUUAAUAUGCCAAUAAUAUUAAAAUAGUUUGUCUGGCAAUAAAUUUUAACUCAUACAUAGGCCAAUAACCCACAUUGAAAAAUCAGUUGGAUACUAGCUGAUUAAUCAAAUCAACCUAGGUGUGUUUUCUUGUCCCAAAUAUUUAUUAAUUGAAACAGGAACAAAUAUUUGAUAAAAAAAUUUACUAACAAUGUUUCUGGAAAAAGUAACAUAUACAUAUUUUACUAUGUAAUUAAUUUAGUUUUUUUUAAAAACUAAACUCAUAACCUCAAAUACUUGUAUUUUCUUAGUAUUUCACAGUACCAAAUAAAAUAUUGAAAGAUUCUUUUGAACCUUCUGCGUUAUGUCAACAUGAAUGUACUGCUAUUAUGUCCUAUUCAAACACAAAAUGUUCAGUAUUAAAAUAUUAAAAUGUUUAUUGUUUUUAUUUUACUUGUUUCCUUUUAAUCCUAACAUUGUACAGUAUGUAUUGCACAUGUGCUGUUUUAAAAAGUUUUCGAUGGCCAUUGAUAACAAAUUGCCCAUGCAGAAGAACGCCUCUCCAUCAAGCCCAUCUUUCACUUCAUUUAACUUAGAUGUUGCUAUUAAUCUAGUGUGCUGGCUUUUACAAUUACUCCUGUCUUAUUGGUGUAUUUUUUGAAGUCACCAGGAAUAUAUUUUUCAAUGCUUACAAAGUCGUUACUGCUUGUUUUGGCAAAAUAUACCUCAUUAAAGGAAAAAACAGGUCCAUAUUCUGGUGGUGAUUCAAUUUUAAGACGUAAAGCAAAGUUUUUUAUGAAUUAAAAAAGAAAAGUUUAUUGGAAUAAAAAAAAAAAUAUGGAAUAAAAAAAAAAGUUUUUUUUAUGAAAUAAUAAAAAAAAAGAGUUUUUUAUGAAAUAAAAAAAAAAGUUUUGUAUGAAAUAAAACAAAUUUUAUAUGAAAUGAAAAAAAAAAAAUUGUCACGAAAAAAUAAAAAUCAUGAAGAUGAAAAAAAGAAUUAAAAUAAAUAAAUAUUAAAAAAAAUUAUCAAAUAAUAAAAUCAAAUAAAACAUUUAAAUGAAUAAUAAUAAAAAAAAUAAUAAAAGUAGAAAAAAAUUAAAAAAAAAAUUAAUAAUAAAUAGAAUUGGAAAUAAUUUGAAAAAUAAUAUAAAAUUGUAUUAAAAUAAUAUGUAUUUGCUAUGACAACCAUAGUCCACCAUACUCCAGUCUAAUCCUAUACAGGUAUGUACCUAAUACUAUACAUGUAGGGGGAUCACGUGGGUAAGACGCUAGCUCGCUAGCCUGGAGGUCGGGUGUUCGAUCCCUGCAUUGGCCGAGAAAGUUCAUCCAGAUUUUCCGGCGUGGUUCUCCCUUGUCAGUGAUGCAGGACGGAGGGGCUGACAAGGAAAGCUGUCUAGUCGUUCGGAUGGGACGAAAAACCGAGGUCCCGUGUACACAUUGGCGUGCACGUAAAAGAUCCCUUGGCAGUUGGAAUUCGAUAUAAGAGUAGGCCGUAGUGCCGCUGUCCGGGCAAAAUUUCCCUCAUAGCACACUGUAUGGCGUAUACCCGUCUUCAUUAGCCCAGGCUAGGAGCAGAACAGUAGGACGUUAAACUCCAUUUCAUUUCAUUUUCAUUUCCUAUACAUGUAUCUACCUAAUCCUAUACAGGUAGGCACCUAAUUGAACAGGAAUAUUGUCCCAAAACUUCUGAAUUUAUAACAUACUCCUUUAUAGAAGUUUAACAUUGAAGGAGGUCCUACUAUAAAGAUAUGAAACAUGUCUUACUAUAUAAAUAUAUGAAAUCAAAAUACAUCAAAUAAUAUCAUAUCUACCUGACUUGUUUAUUUGUUCUUGUGCUGGAUGCAGUCUUCAACUCUAGAUGAACAACUGUUUAACGGCU